Molecule: non-coding RNA, 275 nt
Organism: Pelodiscus sinensis (Chinese soft-shelled turtle)
Lineage: Eukaryota; Metazoa; Chordata; Testudines; Trionychidae
Source: RefSeq, a predicted model, not a curated record
AGGGGUCUGGCAUUCAAGCCCCAGGCGUCGUGAGGUCCUUUCAGCUGAGCCCCCUCAUUUGGAACAGGGGAAGAACCUACUGCCUAGGAACGUCCACAACCAGAAGACAAAGCAACCAGCCAUGCUGCCACGGGGGACAUUCAGAGUUGCCGGUGGAAUUGACCUCAUCCAAAGCUUUUUUGUUCAUGGACUGCGCUGGAAGGGGAGAGUGACCUGGCUGGAGGGUCAGCUCGUAAGAAGAGGCAGAGCACCCCAAGAUGCAGAGCAACCAUUGG